ACACCGUCCGCAGCGUGCACGGGGCGCUGGGCGCACCUGCGGACAGGUACGGCAUCAUGGCCCGCAGCGCCGUGCGCAGCUGGAGCCGCCUCCGGGGGGGGCCCGGGGGGUCCCUGCGGCAGCGGCUGCACCUGGGCUGGGAGCGGCUCAAGUUCGAGCUGGCGCUCAGGCUGGAGUGGCUCCGGUUCCGGGUGGCGGCGGCUGCGCUGCGGCUGCUGAGCCGCUGGGGGGCGCUGCCGCUGGGGGAGCACCUGCAGCACCUGCUCCGGGCCUGAGGGGGCGCCACGCACCCGGGAACGCCACAACCCCACGGAACUACCCCAAAAAACGGCUGAAAUAACCCCAAAAACCGGCUGGAAAUGCUGAAAUAACCCCAAAAACCGGCUGGAAAUGCUGAAAUAAUCCCAAAAAUG
Molecule: long non-coding RNA, 413 nt
Organism: Camarhynchus parvulus
Lineage: Eukaryota; Metazoa; Chordata; Aves; Passeriformes; Thraupidae
Exons: 3
Source: RefSeq, a predicted model, not a curated record